UCCCUUGUAGCUCAGUUGGUAAAGAAUCUGCCUGCAAUGCAGGAGACCCAGGUUCGAUUCCUGGGUUGGGAA
Molecule: transfer RNA, 72 nt
Organism: Ovis aries (sheep)
Lineage: Eukaryota; Metazoa; Chordata; Mammalia; Artiodactyla; Bovidae
Rfam family: tRNA
About the family: Transfer RNA (tRNA) molecules are approximately 80 nucleotides in length.
Source: Rfam